UCGACUACAUGAAGCUGGAAUCGCUAGUAAUCGCAGAUCAGAAUGCUGCGGUGAAUACGUUCCCGGGUCUUGUACACACCGCCCGUCACACCAUGGAGUCGGAAAUGCCCGAAGCCGGUGACCAAACCAAUAAGGAAGGAGCCGUCGAAGGCAGGUCUGAUAACUGGGGUGAAGUCGUAACAAGGUACC
Molecule: ribosomal RNA, 189 nt
Filed under: uncultured bacterium
Lineage: Bacteria
Description: partial 16S ribosomal RNA
Rfam family: Bacterial small subunit ribosomal RNA
Source: RNAcentral